This 256-nucleotide unclassified non-coding RNA is filed under the name Archaeorhizomyces sp. RNAcentral describes it as "partial contains 5.8S ribosomal RNA, internal transcribed spacer 2, and large subunit ribosomal RNA". The stretch from base 1 to 67 matches the Rfam family "5.8S ribosomal RNA", at positions 84 to 154 of the family's 154-position model. Lineage: Eukaryota; Fungi; Ascomycota; Archaeorhizomycetes; Archaeorhizomycetales; Archaeorhizomycetaceae. The record is from RNAcentral.
GUGAGUCAUCGAAUCUUUGAACGCACAUUGCACCUCUUGCAAGGGAGGUAUGCCUGUCUGAGCGUCAUUGAAAACAUUAAACCCUUGGGGGUUUGUUCUGGGCUCCGCAUGGAAGUGCGCUGCCUCAAAUACAUGGUCUAGCCUAUGGAUGAGCUCCUCUUGGACCUGCCAUGGGACUGGCCUUUCUCUGCAUUGUAUUUGACCUCAGAUCAGGUAGGAAGACCGCCUGAACUUAAGCAUAUCAAUAAGCGGAGGA